CAGCCGCCGCGGUAAUACGAAGGGUGCAAGCGUUAAUCGGAAUUACUGGGCGUAAAGCGUGCGCAGGCGGUUAUAUAAGACAGAUGUGAAAUCCCCGGGCUCAACCUGGGACCUGCAUUUGUGACUGUAUAGCUAGAGUACGGUAGAGGGGGAUGGAAUUCCGCGUGUAGCAGUGAAGUGCGUAGAUAUGCGGAGGAACACCGAUGGCAAAGGCAAUCCCCUGGACCUGUACUGACGCUCAUGCACGAAAGCGUGGGGAGCAAACAGGAUUAGAUACCCCCGUAGUCCCUGUCUCUUAUAC
Molecule: ribosomal RNA, 301 nt
Filed under: uncultured bacterium
Lineage: Bacteria
Description: partial 16S ribosomal RNA
Rfam family: Bacterial small subunit ribosomal RNA
Source: RNAcentral